CGAUCCCGGGACUUCGGUCCCAAUGGGAGAGUGGCGAACGGGUGCGUAACACGUGAGAAACCUGUCCCGAAGAUGGGAAUAGCCCAGGGAAACCUGGAUUAAUGCCCAAUACCCUGAGAGCGCCGCAUGGCGCAUUCAGGAAAGGUUCCGGCGCUUUGGGAGGGUCUCGCGGCCUAUCAGCUUGUUGGUGAGGUAAAGGCUCACCAAGGCAUCGACGGGUAGCUGGUCUGAGAGGACGAUCAGCCACACUGGGACUGAGACACGGCCCAGACUCCUACGGGAGGCAGCAGUAGGGAAUCUUGCGCAAUGGGCGAAAGCCUGACGCAGCAACGCCGCGUGGGGGAAGAAGGCCCUCGGGUCGUAAACCCCUUUCAGCAGGGACGAAAUUGACGGCACCUGCAGAAGAAGCUCCGGCCAACUACGUGCCAGCAGCCGCGGUAACACGUAGGGAGCAAGCGUUGUCCGGAUUUAUUGGGCGUAAAGAGCUCGUAGGCGGUUCAGUCAGUCGGGUGUGAAAACUUGAGGCUCAACCUCAAGAGGCCACUCGAUACUGCUGUGACUAGAGUCCGGUAGAGGAGUGUGGAAUUCCUGGUGUAGCGGUGAAAUGCGCAGAUAUCAGGAGGAACACCGACAGCGAAGGCAGCACUCUGGGCCGGUACUGACGCUGAGGAGCGAAAGCAUGGGGAGCAAACAGGAUUAGAUACCCUGGUAGUCCAUGCCGUAAACGUUGGGCACUAGGUGUGGGGUCUCGCUAACAGAUUC
Molecule: ribosomal RNA, 762 nt
Filed under: uncultured marine bacterium
Lineage: Bacteria
Description: bacterial SSU rRNA
Rfam family: Bacterial small subunit ribosomal RNA
Source: RNAcentral